This 73-nucleotide transfer RNA is filed under the name Crassvirales sp. RNAcentral's name for it is "tRNA-Ala". It matches the Rfam family "tRNA". Rfam says of the family: Transfer RNA (tRNA) molecules are approximately 80 nucleotides in length. The record is from RNAcentral. Lineage: Duplodnaviria; Heunggongvirae; Uroviricota; Caudoviricetes; Crassvirales.
GGGGAAUUAGUUUAGUUGGUUAAAACAUCUGCCUUGCACGCAGAAGACAACGUUUCGAUUACGUUAUUCUCCA